Molecule: transfer RNA, 63 nt
Filed under: Streptocephalus cafer
Lineage: Eukaryota; Metazoa; Arthropoda; Branchiopoda; Anostraca; Streptocephalidae
Description: tRNA-Trp
Source: RNAcentral
AAAGCUUUAAGUUAAACAAACUAGUAGCCUUCAAAGCUGAAAAUAAACAUUGUUUAAGCUUUA